GAACUCCUAGACACCUUGGUCCCCAAGCAGAAGAAAUUAAACAGAUAAGUAACAGAUAGGUACAUAAGAUAUCUGAAACAUAAACUCCUAAUUUUAAAAACCACAAUGAAUUACCUAUCUUUUCCUUCCCUGUAAAUGAACAAACCAGACAAAAACUUGAAUGAAUAGAUUUAACAAAACUUGUUCUAGAACAAUUAGCUAAUGAAUGCACUUGACAAAACUUGUUCUGGAACAGCUAGCUAAUAGGGAAC
RNAcentral lists this unclassified non-coding RNA (251 nucleotides) under Hevea brasiliensis (rubber tree). Lineage: Eukaryota; Viridiplantae; Streptophyta; Magnoliopsida; Malpighiales; Euphorbiaceae. The record is from RNAcentral.